CUGAUGGGGACGACGGAGCGGAGGUAGAGAUCGCGGGACAUUGAAAUAGGCUCAACGAGCUUGAGAACAUAAAUGAAGAUGUAAGCGAGGGAAGAACAGAAGGCCAUGUGGAUCAUGGUGAGUGAUAUUGGGUAGGGCCAGUUGUACAUCUUGUGAUCUAAGAUGUACUUGUUGUACAUGAUGACCGUGAAGCUCAGGAAGAUCCAUAUCGCGACGUAGGUGUAUGAUAGGAUGAUCUUCUUCACGACGCCGUCCGAGACCGCCAUUGUUGAUGGAUUGAUUGAUGGAUCUGUGGUUGUAAUUGGCUUUGUAACCCUAACCCUGAGAUUUGGGGGUUUUUGAAGAGUGAAGAGGGGUGGUGAUGUAUAAGAGAGAAAGAGUGAGAUCUCAGAUCUGGCCGAAUUUCAGGGGAUUGCCAUUCAAUGCAAUUUUUUCAAGUACAGUACAACAAUGGGGGUUCAAAACCGCCCUAAUUACAAAAACCGCCACAAAUCCAAAAGUAAAUUAUGGCAUCAACGGAAAAUGUUAGAAUAUUCAAAUAUUAUGGCGGUUCUUCAAAACUCCCAUAAUAUAAAUGCCAUUUUAACUUCUUUUUUUUGUAGUGUGCAUAUGUGAUGUAAAUGAAAGAGCAUAUAUGAAUGUGUGAAAAAAGUGAGAAUAGGAAAGUUAGGUUGCACAUUUUUGUUAUUGGAUUAAUAAAGGUUGAAUUGGAUACUUAAACUAAUCAAGGAUUCAAUCAAUUUAGUCCACUUAGCCAUAUCUAUCCCACCUUGACCCUAACCCCAUUAAAACCCUAAUAAGUCCUCAUGAUAAUUGCAUUCAUGCAUCACAUGGUUGUUGAUUGUUAGAUGAAAAGAAAAUCCUUGAAAACAUGAUUAGAAGAGACUUGUAAAGUGAAUUGACCUUAAACACCGAAUGAUUAGAGCGCAUACACUCCUAGUGAGGGUUCAAUUACUCAAUUCUAUGUUUCCACACCUCGUAUCAUGCGUUCUUGCAAGUUGCUUCAUUUUGAUGAGAUAAAUCAAUUCUUUAGAUUUUGUUUGCAUUGAAUUAUUUCUUUGCUUGGCCCUAUAUGUCUAUAUACUUGCUUGGAAUUUGAUUGUUUGUUUUCACCAAAUCAAUAGGAAACUAUAUAUAUAUAUAUAUAUAUAUAUAUAUAGUAUACCUUACAUGCAUAUAGAUAGUUGCAUUCAAUAAGUUGAUUACCCCUUUUGAUUAUUCUCCUUGUUUGGUUUAGUAUGAUGAAAUGCUAUUGUUUAAGUGUGGGAAAACUAAUGAGUCCAUAUUUUUCGAUAUAUUUCAGCUUGAUUUGAAUAGAUUUCAUCACAUAAACUCACACUUAUUCACUAAAAUAGCAUAUAUUUGUGUUUUAUCCAUAGAUUGGACCUAAAUGUGAAAACAUCCAUUUUUAUAUCUAAAUUGGUGAUUUUAAUUCCACUUUCAUGCCAUUCAAUGCCGUGAUAUAUUUUGUGAGUGAUUUCAGGUCAUUUUUGCAAGAUUGGCUAGGCAAAAGUGGAAGAAAGCAUGUACAAGGGAGAACACUUGAAGAAAACAAGGAAAAGCACACACAGACAAGUGUGCGUGCGCACAAGUACCCGUGCAUACGCACAAGAAGGAAUUUGUAGGUGUGCGUACGUACAGGUGGACUUUCAGCAAAGUGUGCAUACGCACAGGACCCUGCACAUGAUUUCAUUAAUGAAACGCGUGAUGCGCGAUUUUGGGAGCCUUUGGCCAAUUUUUGAAGGCUCAAUGCUGAAAUUGAAGUGCUAUAUGAAGGGGAUAUCAACACAUAUGAAGGCAUUAGGUUUUAUUUGGUAGCAUUAGCUAGAAUUAGGACUUAGACAUAAUUUUCCAUAGUUUUACAUAGUAGGAGUAGGAGUAGUGUAGAUUAGGGAGAGCUCUCUUAGGAUUUUUAAUUAGGGUUCAUUGUAGCAUUUUAUAGCAAGUUUUGAUUUUGGAUUUUGCUCAUCUUUUGUAAGUACUCUCAAUUUCCUCUUUAAUUUUACUACUUUUGCUUUUAUGUUCUUAUGGUUCAAGUUACUUUGUUUAUAUAUGCAAUUUUGGUAUCUUGAAGUUUUGAUUGAUGAAUUUAAUGUUUUAUACCUUAUAUAUGCUUGAUUGCAUGUUUAUAGUUGGUCUUAUGAAUAUUUUGGUUAUAGAUUUUAUUUUUCUUUGCAAUUUCCUAUGUCUUGGUUUUAUGCCCACAAGCUGUUUGUGAAAAUGCCAAUUAUGAGUUUUGAGUAGAUUUUCACACCUUGGCUUGGGAUUUGAGUUCCUAGGAUACUAGAGUCAUAAUGUUCGACAUUUAGUGGCAAUUCUUGGGUAGUUAGUUGACUCUUGUUUUUAUUGACGCUAGCUUUUUACUAACUAGUUUGGUAAGUUAACUAGGACUUAUGGAUUAAGGUCAAUUAUGCUUGCUUGACCUACUCCUCGAUGUUAGGGUUAACUAAGCGAGAUUGACUCAUCAUAGUUGCCAUAGUUGUGGUUAUGGCGAUGAUAGGAUUCCUUGGAUCCUCAUUCCCAAGUCAAGGCUCUUUUUAUGCAUUCCUAGCAUUUUCACUAAGUUUUUAUCUUGUUUCCUUUUUAAUUGCAUUAAUUAUCAAUUUUGAUCAUUCUUUAGUCCUUUCAUUUCUUAGUUCUUUUAAUCUUUUGUUCUUUGAUUACAAAACCCCUUUUCCCUCACAACCGAAAGUGCAACACUUCGAUUGCAUCCUAGGGAGAACGACCCGAGGUUUAAUUACUCUCGGUUAUUUUAAUUUGAAUUUGACAUUUGAUUAAGAGAAUUCAUUGUUGGUUUGGACUAUGCUACUAACGAAUUGAUUCUUAUUUUGAUUGAUUCUAAAUCGACAAUAAUUCUCUCUUAUCACUCCCACAACGAUAGCACAGUCCUAUCUUAGUUUGGCAUGGCUAGUCUGGAUGGUAUCUCCCGCAUCUUUGGCACUCCAAAUCUUCUGAAGUAGCCUUUGCCCACUUUUCUUUACCAUUUCCCGUGGGGUUGUCAUUUUUUCGGUAAUUGUUCCAACCUUGGGAAGGCUGAGGUGGACACCCACUCCUUUUGAAGUCUAUUCCUCUCAGCGCAAAACUCUUUGUCUAGAUCCUUUCUAUGGGACUCCCUGUGGUCACUCCUCGCUAUAUCAGUUUUCUUGCAACACUCUUCCACCACUCGACUAUUGUUAACUAACUCCGCAAACUCUUAACCUCAAGAGGCGCCACAACUCGCAUGAUAUCAUCCCUCAAACCAUCUUGGUACUUCAUACACUUUCACCCCUCAUAUUCUUCAGGAGCACCCUAACAAACCUGUGAGAAAUGACACAACUCUUCAAAUUUGCUCGUAUAAGCAGCCACCAACAUUGAUCCUUGUUUAAUUGUAGUAGCUCUAAUUCCUUAGCCUGUCUUGCAGAGUUUGAGAAGUAUUUCUUGUAAAACUCCCCUUUGAACAUCUACCAGGUAAUCACCUCAUCUCUAUUCCUUUGCUGUAGCAGUCGGUAAGCUCCUUGCCACCAGUGUUGCGCUUCUCCACUUAACUGAUAUGCAGCGAAUUCCACCAACUGACUCUCAGGUACAUGUUGCGCUUGCAUUGCCAUUUUCUAUCGCCUGGAACCAAUUAUUGGUUUUCGUCGCAUCAUUUGAACCCUUGAUAUUGGGGAUUGACCUUCAAAAAGGAUGCCAAAGUUAUCGGACCUCCAUUAGCUUAGUUCCCCUCAAGUCCGUUACCGUUCCCGUUCAUUCAUUCCAUAACUUGGUUUGUAGCCGUAGUAUUUACGCACAUCGGAUUCAUAAAAGUGAUAGAGGGAAAUCGUCGGUUAAAAAUUUUCACAAAAUAAUUCCAUUUCAAGUAUAGUUCCAAACCAAUAGACAACCUUUAAUCAAAGUUUAAUUUGUUUAUCACAAGUACAAACCCAAUAAAAACCGAGAGUAUUUAAACCUCAGGUCAUCUCUCAAGAAAUUGCAGGGAAGUGUGCAUGUUAUUGGUUAUGGGUGUAUAUUUUUUGGGUUUUGGGUUUGAUAACAAGAAAUUAAAACUAACAACUAAGAAAAGUCUUGGCAAGGAAUGAGAAUUGAAAUUCCUAUCCUCAUUAUCAUCCUCAAUUAUGAUGGUAAUUGUCUUUUGCUCUCACUUAAUUAACCUCUAACAAUUGAAGGAAAGUCAAGUGAGCAAAAUUGACUCUAAUCCAAAAGUCCUAAUCAAAGAUUAGUUUUAGUAGAAUUCAAGCCAACAAGAAAUCUUCAAUCACCAAUCAACAAAAGAGUUUGAUAACUCAAGAGUCUCUAAUCACUCAACCCAAGCCAAGAGCACAAAAUUCUACACUAAAAUCCAACCAAGUAUUCUAUCAAACACUUGGAAGGCAUAAAAUGAAAGCAUAGUAAAAUAGCAAGAAAUAAUAAAUUCUAUGACUACCAAAUGCAAGAAAACAAUAAUAAGAACUCAAUUAAAGAAUGUUACUAAAUCAAAACAAGCAAUAAAACCUAAAUCUAAGAGAAAUCUAACCUAAUUCUACCAUAAUUCUAGAGAGAAGAAAGAGAUUCUCUCUAAAAUAUGACCUAAAGAAUGUUACUAAACUAUCCUAAUUUCUGUCCCCUUCAUCCUUCUUGAUUUUGGCCUCAAAUAGCUUCAGAAUUGAGUUGGAUUGGGCUUUAGCAGCUGCAGAAUUUGCCCCUAGCGUGCUUUAUUAAGUUGGUCACGUGCUGCUUGUCACGCGUACGCGUGACGAAUAGCAGAUUUCUAAAACUUCAUUUCUUCAUGAAUUCUCCACUUUGCAUUUUUUUCUUCAUUCCUUCAAUCCAAUCCUUGCUUUAUAAACCUGGAAUCACUUAAUAAACAUAUCAAGGAAUCAAAUGGGAUUAAAGUGAAUUAAAUUUGGCAAAUUAAGGGCCUAAAAAGCAUAUUUUUACUCUUAAGCACAAUUUAGGGAGAAUUUACAAAAUUAUGCUAUUUUAGUGAAUAAAUAUGAAAAAAGUUGAUAAAAUCCACUAAAUUCAAUACAAGAUAAACCACAAAAUUGGGGUUUAUCAAAGAGAAGUCAUAGUAGCCAAGAGCAUGGCUUGGUUAUCCCCCGAUGUACCUUCUUCAUUUUCUCUCCAUAUUCAGGUUUGACCACGUGCACGAGUCAUCAUUCGGGUCAUGUCCACACCAAACAAGCGAUAUUAAGAUGAUCAGUCUCAAUAUCUCAAGUUAAGUGCUUCGAAUUCUCAAAAGUAUACUCAUAAUCAGAGUAUGCAUUGAAGCAUAAGCAGUCCAUCCCUCAGGCUCACGAGGACGAACUGCUCUGAUACCAUAAUAUAACACCCUAAUAUUCAAAUCCUUAUGCUCGAGUCAUAACUUAAUGAUAAUAAGGUGGUACGACUCUCAAGGUGGAUUAUAAUACAUACAUACAUAUAUAUAUAUAUAUAUAUAUAUAUAUAUAUAUAUAUAUAUAAGUUGAAAGGAAAAAUUAAACGAGAAGCCUGAAAAGGAGUAAAAUAAAAUCACAAACAGAAACUCUCACGUAUCGAUAAAACAGAAGAUAAAGCACACAUUUAAACGAAGGUAAAGAUAAGUAGUAAGGAAGGAUAUGAUAAGGAUAGGAUAUAAACAUAUAACAUAAGUAAAUAGCCACUAGCCACGACCCGCAAAGUUUAGGCCGGCUAGGGUUACAGGAGUAAAAGCAGUUGACAACAGAAUUUCCUAUAAGUUGAAAGAAAA
This 5683-nucleotide long non-coding RNA is filed under the name Arachis ipaensis. RNAcentral's name for it is "long non-coding RNA (AIPA_LNC002505)". Lineage: Eukaryota; Viridiplantae; Streptophyta; Magnoliopsida; Fabales; Fabaceae. The record is from RNAcentral.